Molecule: ribosomal RNA, 407 nt
Filed under: uncultured bacterium
Lineage: Bacteria
Description: bacterial SSU rRNA
Rfam family: Bacterial small subunit ribosomal RNA
Source: RNAcentral
AACGAACGUUAGCGGCGCGCCUAACACAUGCAAGUCGAGCGAGAAAGGGCUUCGGCCCCCGGGUAAAAGCGGCGCACGGGUGAGUAACACGUGGAUAACCUACCCCUUGGUGGUGGAUAACCUUCCGAAAGGAGGGCUAAUACAGCGUAAGACCACGACUUCGAAAGAGGUUGAGGUAAAAGUGGGCCUCUGUACACAAGCUCACGCCAGGGGAUGGGUCCGCGGCCCAUCAGCUAGUUGGUAGGGUAACGGCCUACCAAGGCGAAGACGGGUAGCUGGUCUGAGAGGAUGAUCAGCCACACUGGAACUGAGACACGGUCCAGACUCCUACGGGAGGCAGCAGUGGGAAUCUUGCGCAAUGGACGAAAGUCUGACGCAGCGACGCCGCGUGAGUGAUGAAGGCCUUC